UUCCGAUCUAAAGAGCGCAGGGUGGAUGCCUUGGCACUAAGAGCCGAUGAAAGACGUGAUAAGCUGCGAAAAGCUACGGGGAGGAGCAAAUAUCCUUUGAUCCGUAGAUGUCUGAAUGGGGAAACCCACAUGAGCACACCUCAUGUAUCCAUACGCCAAUCCAUAACGUAUGGAGGGGAACCCGGUGAACUGAAACAUCUAAGUAGCCGGAGGAAGAGAAAGAAACAUCGAUUUCCAAAGUAGCGGCGAGCGAAAUGGAAAGAGGCCAAACCGGAAUGCGUGCAUUCCGGGGUUCGGACCGCAUAAUUGAUUCGUCAAUCCUAGCAGAAAGGUUUUGGGAAAGCCUGCCAGAGAGGGUGAAAGCCCCGUAAGCGAAAGGAAAGAUGACAUGGCGGUAUCCAGAGUACAUCGAGACACGAGAAACCUUGAUGGAAUGAGCGGGGACCACCCCGUAAGCCUAAAUACUCCUUAGUGACCGAUAGCGCAUAGUACUGUGAAGGAAAGGUGAAAAGGACCCCGGGAGGGGAGUGAAAGAGAACCUGAAACCCUGUGUUUACAAGCUGUGGAAGUGCUUUAUAUGCACAACCGCGUACUUUUUGUAGAACGGUCCGGCGAGUUACGGGUACCGGCAAGGUUAAGCACUUAAGGUGUGGAGCCGAAGGGAAACCAAGUCUGAAUAGGGCGUCAAGUCAGUAUCCGUAGACCCGAAACCGGGUGAUCUACCCAUGUCCAGGUUGAAGUUGCCGUAAAAGGCAAUGGAGGACCGAACGCACAUCCGUUGAAAAGGGUGGCGAUGAGGUGUGGGUAGGGGAGAAAUUCCAAUCGAACCCGGAGAUAGCUGGUUCUCCUCGAAAUAGCUUUAGGGCUAGCCUCAUUUUAGUCUUAUGGAGGUAGAGCACUGAAUUUCCGCGGGGGCGUCAAAGCUUACCAAAGAAUAUCAAACUCCGAAUGCCAUGUAGAUGAUGAAUGGGAGUCAGACUGCACGAGAUAAGUUGGGCAGUCAAAAGGGAAAGAGCCCAGACCACCAGCUAAGGUCCCAAAGUGUGUGUUAAGUGGAAAAGGAUGUGGGAUUUCAAAGACAACUAGGAUGUUGGCUCAGAAGCAGCCACACAUUCAAAGAGUGCGUAACAGCUCACUAGUCGAGAGGUCCUGCGCCGAAAAUGUCCGGGGCUAAAACACAACACCGAAGCUGUGGAAUCACGUAGUGAUUGGUAGAGGAGCAUUCUUAAGACCGACGAAGCUGUACCGGAAGGAGCAGUGGAGGGAUAAGAAGAGAGAAUGCCGGAAUGAGUAGCGAGAGAGAGGUGAGAAUCCUCUCGGCCGAAUAUCCAAGGUUUCCAGAGUAAAGCUGAUCUGCUCUGGGUAAGUCGGGGCCUAAGGAGAGGUCGAAAGACGUAUCCGAUGGACAACAGGUUUAGAUUCCUGUACCACAUAUGAACAGAACUGUGGGGACGCAUGUGGAGAGCACGAGCCGGGAAUGGAAAUACCGGUACAAGCGGAGAAGGAGUCUGGUUGGCAAAUCCGCCAGACAAUCCGAAGACGUGAUGUGGAGCGAAUUAGAGUAGCGAAGCGUGUGAGCCAUGUGCCGAGAAAAGCCGCUAUUGUUUCAUGUGUGCCCGUACCGUAAACCGACACAGGUGGAUGAGGAGAGAAUCCUAAGGCCGGCGGAAGAAGCAUUGUUAAGGAACUCGGCAAAAUGACCCCGUAACUUCGGGAGAAGGGGUGCCUGCGAGAGCAGGCCGCAGAGAAUAGGCUCAAGCAACUGUUUAGCAAAAACACAGGUCUAUGCGAAACCGAAAGGUGAAGUAUAUGGGCUGACGCCUGCCCGGUGCUGGAAGGUUAAGAGGAGAGGUUAGCGUAAGCGAAGCUUUGAAUUUAAGCCCCAGUAAACGGCGGCCGUAACAAUAACGGUCCUAAGGUAGCGAAAUUCCUUGUCGGGUAAGUUCCGACCCGCACGAA
This 1959-nucleotide ribosomal RNA is filed under the name human gut metagenome. RNAcentral's name for it is "bacterial LSU rRNA". It matches the Rfam family "Bacterial large subunit ribosomal RNA", at positions 1 to 1996 of the family's 2925-position model. The record is from RNAcentral.